RNAcentral lists this transfer RNA (58 nucleotides) under Caprella acanthogaster. RNAcentral's name for it is "tRNA-Val". Lineage: Eukaryota; Metazoa; Arthropoda; Malacostraca; Amphipoda; Caprellidae. The record is from RNAcentral.
AAGAGUAGAGCUAACCAGCGCCUCAUUUACAAUGAGGAGUUUCUUUCAGAUGCUCUUU